Neotoma lepida (desert woodrat) is the source of this 271-nucleotide regulatory RNA element. It matches the Rfam family "Mason-Pfizer monkey virus packaging signal". Rfam says of the family: The packaging signal is located in the 5' UTR and is required for specific RNA encapsidation. Lineage: Eukaryota; Metazoa; Chordata; Mammalia; Rodentia; Cricetidae. The record is from Rfam.
UGGUGCCCAACAUGGGGCCCGAGAAUGGGGCAUCCAGUGAAGAAUGCUGUUAAGAGAGCCGUAGCAGAUUAGGAGUGAAAAAGAGGAGUAGAUGCAGGAACCUGCUGUGUCUUCUGAACCUCGGUAAGCAAAACAGCGAUUAUGGGACAAGAAAUUAGUCAGCAUGAACUGUUUGUUGACAGGCUAAGAAAAGCCUUAAAGGCACGAGGGGUGAAGGUAAAGACUAAGCAACUGUAUGAUUUCUUUGAUCACAUUAAGGACGUCUGUCCAU